GCCGGUGUAGCUCAGUUGGUAGAGCAGCCGUUUCGUAAAUGGCAGGUUCAUCGGUUCGAGCCCGAUCACCGGCU
Molecule: transfer RNA, 74 nt
Filed under: Ktedonobacter sp.
Lineage: Bacteria; Bacillati; Chloroflexota; Ktedonobacteria; Ktedonobacterales; Ktedonobacteraceae
Description: tRNA-Thr
Rfam family: tRNA
About the family: Transfer RNA (tRNA) molecules are approximately 80 nucleotides in length.
Source: RNAcentral